Molecule: long non-coding RNA, 958 nt
Organism: Sorghum bicolor (sorghum)
Lineage: Eukaryota; Viridiplantae; Streptophyta; Magnoliopsida; Poales; Poaceae
Exons: 4
Source: RefSeq, a predicted model, not a curated record
CUGCGGUGUCUCCCAAUGCCAUCAGUGCAGCCUCAGAAGAAAUUAUUUCAUUUCAUGAAGUGGACAUUGUAACACCAUCACAGAAGUUAUUGGCUAGAAAACUCUCGUGCAAUGUGGUACAAGGGAAAAGCCUUCUUCUGACUGGUCCCAAUGGUAGUGGAAAGAGUUCUAUUUUUAGAGUGCUCAGGGAUCUGUGGCCCACCGUCUUUGGGAGAGUUAUCAAGCCCUCAGAAGGUAUGUUCCAUGUUCCUCAGCUGCCAUAUACCAGUCUGGGUACUCUGCGGGAUCAGAUCAUAUACCCUCUCUCAAGGGAGGAAGCGAAGAUAAAAGUUCUUUCAUUACAUAGAUCUGACUUGGAACUAGCAUGGGAAUAACUGUGAUCACUUCCUCUAGCAUGGGCAUAACUGUGGCCACUUCCUCACAAAGGCCUGCUUUGAUACCCUUCCAUGCCUUGGAGCUGAAGCUCAUUGACGGCGAAGGGAACUGGGAGCUAUGUGCGAUCCAUCAGUGAAUGAUGGUACCCAUUAGGAGUUGAUGCCAUCAAAUACACCGUCAGUUGCAUGUACAAAAGCAAGCAGCUAGCCCCAUUGCCAAUUGCCAUUGUGUAUAGACAAUGCAGACGGUGGCAGCAUUGCUAUGUUGGAAUAUGUAUUCUUGUCAGAAUCUGCCUCACGUUGAGGGUGAUUGUGUAUGUGGUGGGCGCUUCGUUUGCUUUGAGGUGUUUUGGAUAGUAGAGCAGAGGGUUGUGAGUUAGAAGCUGUACCUAUUGAUUGGUAUAUAGUAGCUGGAUAGUAGAGCAGAGGGUUGUGAGUUAGAAGCUGUACCUAUUGAUUUAUUACAUUACAUUAUAUUGAUCCUGUAUAGUAGAUGUAUAUGACAGGCAAGGCAAAAAAAUAAAUAUUUAUAUAAAUCAUUGCGAUGCCUUGCUGACCCUUGCAUGUUUUUGUUCGGGCAAUAA